Molecule: ribosomal RNA, 424 nt
Filed under: uncultured bacterium
Lineage: Bacteria
Description: partial 16S ribosomal RNA
Rfam family: Bacterial small subunit ribosomal RNA
Source: RNAcentral
GUUAGGAAUAUUGGACAAUGGGCGCAAGCCUGAUCCAGCCAUGCCGCGUGAGUGAUGAAGGCCUUCGGGUUGUAAAGCUCUUUAGCCGAUGAUUAUAAUGACUGUAGUCGGAAAAUAAGCCCCGGCUAACUUCGUGCCAGCAGCCGCGGUAAUACGAAGGGGGCGAGCGUUAUUCGGAAUCACUGGGCGUAAAGCGUGCGUAGGCGGCUUUGCAAGUUGGGAGUGAAAGCCCAGGGCUCAACCCUGGAAUUGCUCUCAAAACUGCAAGGCUCGAAUUCGGGAGAGGAUAGCGGAAUUGUCAGUGUAGCAGUGAAAUGCGUAGAUAUUGACAGGAACACCAGUGGCGUAAGCGGCUAUCUGGACCGAUAUUGACGCUGAGGCACGAAAGCGUGGGGAUCAAACAGGAUUAGAUACCCUGUAGUCC